CUGAAGAGGGCAGCAGCCAUUUAUUUUGGGCUCACCCCUAAUGAGGUCAGUGUUUUAGGACAGGCACACAUGUAUGCUAUGUCCAUACUUUAAUUAAUAAAUAUGAACAAAUAACAUAAACAUAAACACACAAAUGUACAUCAACUUUUUAUGACCCCUUCAUGUCAGAAAAUUUGCCUUCGAGCUGGCAGUGCAUUUCAGCUGCCCAUUCCCUGCAUCCUGGUCGAGGAAGAGCAUGGCGGGGAAGGACUGGUUCAACUCCUUCAUGGAGCGCAGUGUCAGCCUCUCCCUUCGGUGUCCAGAGGCCACUAGCCAACAAACACAACUAUUUACAGGGGUCACCACUGUCCAGGUGCCAGACCGUGUCGUCGCCCAAAUGGGGCAGAGCAGGUCAGGUCAGUGACCUCAGCGGAAAGGGGGACCCUGGUCACAGUUGCGCUGGCAGGCAAUGCAACCUUCCCACCGAGUAGGGUCCAGCUGCAGCCCCGGAGAACAACACCCUGGCGUGACAACAACCCUGGCGCGACGGAAGUACUCUGGCGUGACGGAAGUGAUUUUUUUUUUUUUUAAAUGUACACACCGCUAAAUCGGAAACCAAAGAUGAACCAUGGAAUAUGCUUGGUACCUUGCCAUGGAGGCACCGUUUAACUUCACUGUUAAAGACAUGCAGUCCUCAGAAAAUUGUGGUGCACAGUACUGCUUGAGAACUUCCAACUGGAUGGGCACGGCAGAAGGUUCCCACACUUCAUGGAGGAGGCCAAACAAAUGGCGGUUGACUACUUCCACCAGUCUUCAGACUGAAGCGAAAAAGAGAAUGAGUUGGAGCUGAUGGCAGUCAGCAUGAAGAAGCUAUAUCUUUAAGAUUCUGUAGAUUAUUUGUUAAAUAAAUUGUGAGGAAACUUU
Molecule: long non-coding RNA, 903 nt
Organism: Gadus morhua (Atlantic cod)
Lineage: Eukaryota; Metazoa; Chordata; Actinopteri; Gadiformes; Gadidae
Exons: 5
Source: RefSeq, a predicted model, not a curated record